Molecule: regulatory RNA element, 214 nt
Organism: Roseburia sp. CAG:18
Lineage: Bacteria; Bacillati; Bacillota; Clostridia; Lachnospirales; Lachnospiraceae
Source: Rfam
UUUCUCAAGGGUUAGAGGCCGUUAGAAUUUUGUCAGUACCCAGCGAUUCCCGUACACGGAUGUACGGGAAAGGACGACAUGAGCCCAAGGUGGUAAGGAAUCCUCCCACUUAGGUGGGUCCCUCCUUACCACAGCGGAUGGCGAAUGUCGUCCGGUCGCGUCCGGCACGCAAAAUCUUUCGCCAAAAUUCUUACAGCCUCUUCCUGAAGAGAAU